UGCAGUCGAACGGUGAAGCCCACGCUUGCUGGGGUGGAUUAGUGGCGAACGGGUGAGUAACACGUGAGCAACCUGCCCCUGACUCUGGGAUAAGCGCUGGAAACGGCGUCUAAUACUGGAUACGAACCGUAAUCGCAUGGUUACUGGUUGGAAAGAUUUUUCGGUUGGGGAUGGGCUCGCGGCCUAUCAGCUUGUUGGUGAGGUAAUGGCUCACCAAGGCGUCGACGGGUAGCCGGCCUGAGAGGGUGACCGGCCACACUGGGACUGAGACACGGCCCAGACUCCUACGGGAGGCAGCAGUGGGGAAUAUUGCACAAUGGGCGCAAGCCUGAUGCAGCAACGCCGCGUGAGGGAUGACGGCCUUCGGGUUGUAAACCUCUUUUAGCAGGGAAGAAGCGAGAGUGACGGUACCUGCAGAAAAAGCACCGGCUAACUACGUGCCAGCAGCCGCGGUAAUACGUAGGGUGCAAGCGUUAUCCGGAAUUAUUGGGCGUAAAGAGCUCGUAGGCGGUUUGUCGCGUCUGCUGUGAAAUCUGGGGGCUCAACCCCCAGCCUGCAGUGGGUACGGGCAGACUAGAGUGCGGUAGGGGAGAUUGGAAUUCCUGGUGUAGCGGUGGAAUGCGCAGAUAUCAGGAGGAACACCGAUGGCGAAGGCAGAUCUCUGGGCCGUAACUGACGCUGAGGAGCGAAAGGGUGGGGAGCAAACAGGCUUAGAUACCCUGGUAGUCCACCCCGUAAACGUUGGGAACUAGUUGUGGGGUCCAUUCCACGGAUUCCGUGACGCAGCUAACGCAUUAAGUUCCCCGCCUGGGGAGUACGGCCGCAAGGCUAAAACUCAAAGGAAUUGACGGGGACCCGCACAAGCGGCGGAGCAUGCGGAUUAAUUCGAUGCAACGCGAAGAACCUUACCAAGGCUUGACAUAUACGAGAACGGGCCAGAAAUGGUCAACUCUUUGGACACUCGUAAACAGGUGGUGCAUGGUUGUCGUCAGCUCGUGUCGUGAGAUGUUGGGUUAAGUCCCGCAACGAGCGCAACCCUCGUUCUAUGUUGCCAGCACGUAAUGGUGGGAACUCAUGGGAUACUGCCGGGGUCAACUCGGAGGAAGGUGGGGAUGACGUCAAAUCAUCAUGCCCCUUAUGUCUUGGGCUUCACGCAUGCUACAAUGGCCGGUACAAUGGGCUGCAAUACCGUGAGGUGGAGCGAAUCCCAAAAAGCCGGUCCCAGUUCGGAUUGAGGUCUGCAACUCGACCUCAUGAAGUCGGAGUCGCUAGUAAUCGCAGAUCAGCAACGCUGCGGUGAAUACGUUCCCGGGUCUUGUACACACCGCCCGUCAAGUCAUGAAAGUCGGUAACACCUGAAGCCGGUGGCCUAACCC
Molecule: ribosomal RNA, 1376 nt
Filed under: Microbacterium sp. MCCC 1A10728
Lineage: Bacteria; Bacillati; Actinomycetota; Actinomycetes; Micrococcales; Microbacteriaceae
Description: bacterial SSU rRNA
Rfam family: Bacterial small subunit ribosomal RNA
Source: RNAcentral